GUGCCAGCCGCCGCGGUAAUACCGGCGGCCCGAGUGGUGGCCGCUAUUAUUGGGCCUAAAGCGUCCGUAGCCGGGCCCGUAAGUCCCUGGCGAAAUCCCACGGCUCAACCGUGGGGCUUGCUGGGGAUACUGCGGGUCUUGGGACCGGGGGAGGCGGGGGGUACCCCUGGGGUAGGGGUGAAAUCCUAUAAUCCCAGGGGGACCGCCAGUGGCGAAGGCGCCCCGCUGGAACGGGUCCGACGGUGAGGGACGAAGGCCAGGGGAGCAAACCGGAUUAGAGACCCUGGAGUCC
Molecule: ribosomal RNA, 292 nt
Filed under: uncultured bacterium
Lineage: Bacteria
Description: partial 16S ribosomal RNA
Rfam family: Archaeal small subunit ribosomal RNA
Source: RNAcentral